GUAGGUCGGAGGAACUAGCAUGCGAGUCAUUGUAGCAAUACAAGGCAGACGGCUCAGUAACGCGUAGUCAAUCUACCCUAUGGACGGGAAUAACCUCGGGAAACUGAGAAUAAUGCCCGAUAGAACAUUAUACCUGGAACGGUUUAUGUUUCAAAUGAUUUAUCGCCGUAGGAUGGGACUGCGGCCUAUCAGUUUGUUGGUGAGGUAAUGGCCCACCAAGACUAUUACAGGUACGGGCUCUGAGAGGAGUAGCCCGGAGAUGGGUACUGAGACACGGACCCAGGCCCUAUGGGGCGCAGCAGGCGAGAAAACUUUGCAAUGUGCGAAAGCACGACAAGGUUAAUCCGAGUGGUUUCUGCUAAAGAAACCUUUUGCUAGUCCUAGAAACACUAGUGAAUAAGGGGUGGGCAAGUUCUGGUGUCAGCCGCCGCGGUAAAACCAGCACCUCAAGUGGUCAGGAUGAUUAUUGGGCCUAAAGCAUCCGUAGCUCGUUUUGUAAGUUUUCGGUUAAAUCCAUACGCUCAACGUAUGGGCUGCCGGGAAUACUGCAUAACUAGGAAGUGGGAGAGGUAGACGGUACUCGGUAGGAAGGGGUAAAAUCCUUUGAUCUAUUGAUGACCACCUGUGGCGAAGGCGGUCUACCAGAACACGUUCGACGGUGAGGGAUGAAAGCUGGGGGAGCAAACCGGAUUAGAUACCCGGGUAGUCCCAGCUGUAAACUAUGCAAACUCAGUGAUGCAUUGGCUUGUGGCCAAUGCAGUGCUGCAGGGAAGCCGUUAAGUUUGCCGCCUGGGAAGUACGUACGCAAGUAUGAAACUUAAAGGAAUUGGCGGGGGAGCACCACAAGGGGUGAAGCCUGCGGUUCAAUUGGAGUCAACGCCGGG
Molecule: ribosomal RNA, 884 nt
Filed under: uncultured archaeon
Lineage: Archaea
Description: bacterial SSU rRNA
Rfam family: Archaeal small subunit ribosomal RNA
Source: RNAcentral